CGGUUGAUCCUGCCGGAGGUUACUGCUAUCGGAGUUCGAGUAAGCCAUGCGAGUCUAAAGGUUUCUUCGGAAACCUUGGCGGACUGCUCAGUAACACGUGGAUAACCUACCCUUAGGACUGGAAUAACCCCGGGAAACUGGGGAUAAUACCGGAUAGAUCAGGGAUGCUGGAAUGCACCUUGAUCUAAAGCUCCGGCGCCUAAGGAUGGGUCUGCGGCCUAUCAGGUUGUAGUGGGUGUAACGUACCUACUAGCCGACGACGGGUACGGGUUGUGAGAGCAAGAGCCCGGAGAUGGAUUCUGAGACACGAAUCCAGGCCCUACGGGGUGCAGCAGGCGCGAAACCUUUACAAUGUGCGAAAGCAUGAUAAGGGAACUCCGAGUGCCAGUAUCUAAUACUGGCUGUCCUUGUGCCUAAAACGCACAAGAUAGCAAGGGCCGGGUAAGACCGGUGCCAGCCGCCGCGGUAACACCGGCGGCCCGAGUGGUAGCCGCUAUUAUUGGGUCUAAAGGGUCCGUAGCCGGUUCGAUAAGUCCUCUGGGAAAUCUGGUUGCUUAACAAUCAGACUGCCAAGGGAUACUGUCGAACUUGAGACCGGGAGAGGUAAGAGGUACUUCAGGGGUAGGAGUGAAAUCUUGUAAUCCCUGGGGGACCAUCUGUGGCGAAGGCGUCUUACCAGAACGGGUCUGACGGUGAGGGACGAAAGCUGGGGGCGCAAACCGGAUUAGAUACCCGGGUAGUCCCAGCCGUAAACGAUGCUCGCUAUGUGUC
Molecule: ribosomal RNA, 771 nt
Filed under: uncultured archaeon
Lineage: Archaea
Description: bacterial SSU rRNA
Rfam family: Archaeal small subunit ribosomal RNA
Source: RNAcentral